UACGUAGGGGGCAAGCGUUGUCCGGAAUCAUUGGGCGUAAAGAGCGUGUAGGCGGCCAGGUAGGUCUGCUGUGAAAACUCGAGGCUCAACCUCGAGACGUCGGCGGAAACCAUCUGGCUAGAGUCCGGAAGAGGAGAGUGGAAUUCCUGGUGUAGCGGUGAAAUGCGCAGAUAUCAGGAAGAACACCCGUGGCGAAGGCGGCUCUCUGGGACGGUACUGACGCUGAGACGCGAAAGCGUGGGGAGCGAACAGG
Molecule: ribosomal RNA, 253 nt
Filed under: uncultured bacterium
Lineage: Bacteria
Description: partial 16S ribosomal RNA
Rfam family: Bacterial small subunit ribosomal RNA
Source: RNAcentral